AAAUACCAAAUCAUUUUGACACCAAGACCUGUACUUUUCUCUAAAUUUUGCCUAUUUUGAAAUGUAAUUGGUCUGUAGAGUUUUUAAUUAGCAUCAUUCACGGUUCAACCAAUUAUUUUCCCAUUAAACUAUAAGACAAAAUCAAGGGGAAAUUUGUGAUGAAGUUCAGCAAUUUCCGGAUAAGUAAUUGACUCUGUGUGUCCAACUUAAUUGUGUGGGAUCAUAGAAGUCGUAACCACGUAGAAGGCUCCUGUCAGCGUGAAAUGACAAGAACAAAGGAAAGAAAUCCGACAGACCAAGAGCGACGAACAGAAGAUAGAAAUGGAGGAUUGAAAGAGGUUUGAUUGUAACUGGGCGAGAAGACCAGAGAGAAAUUGCAUUCUCUCUAUCACAGACACAUACACACUUGCAAAUACUAUUACAUUAUUGGAUUCAAACAACCAGAUUGAAUGAAGGAAAAAAUUAUCCAUAAAACUUUUCUUAAUUCGAAAACGAGAUCCUGCAAGCUAUAAUUUUGAUUUACCACUUUCAGUUUUUUAAUUAGAGGGAUGGUUGAAAAGAAGCUGCUGUGGUCUUGUUACGAUAGGGAACGAGAUUUCUAAAAAGAACAAGGUGCAGAUUUUGGAACGUGCUGGAAAGAAAUGGAAGCGUAUGGAUAACUUCAGAAAGAACUUUCUAUCCUCAAUUUCUACCAGGGACUUGAACACUUGAAAUACGAUCAAACAAUUUGACGAUUUGUAUCUUUUGAGCCUGUCUGGAUGUCGCCACUUUAACGCAACUGCCUUAGGAUUUGACAUAACUCAAAGGAAACGCCGUUUCAAGACCUCAUUCUGACUGAAUACAUUAAAGAAAAAUCUUCCGGUGCUGCAUUGGAGAAAAUAAGAUUGUACUUUCAGAUUAUGUUUAUACCCACAAUAAGAUUUACCUAAUUCUAGAUUUUUUAAGCUUUAAUUUAAUUAGUAUAGGUGUCUUUCUGCUUCAAAAUCAGUUGGCUAGCAAGAUAUAGAGAUAAAAUUUAAAGAAAGAACUAAAAUAUCCGUGAUUUCAAAUUUUCAUUUUAUUUCUUGCACAUAGAGAAAGGUUUACAAUGAUCUAAAUUUUCGAAUUUACUUUUUGACAUAUUCCAAAAUAAUUCAACAAAAAGAAGUCAAAACAAUAAUUUUUUAAAAUGUUUUUUGAGAGUUUUAAUAGGAUUUUUAGCUAUAUCGGUAACAACUAUACGAUAUCUUAUAUAUUUAUUCGCGUCUUCGAGAGGCAUCGAUUGACCUAUUGCUGAAAUUUGUAUGACCUUCCAGUACCGAUUUAUGAAAUUUAAAAGAAUAGUUUAUUCUGUUAAUAUAAGAAAAACUUGUUUAAAAUUCAAAAUACAACAAUAUUAUAUCUAGUGCAUUUGUGCGCAUCUCCGACACGCAUCCGAAAUACAGGACUGUGUCUGACAUUUUUAUUCACGUCUGAGAGACGCGUCGAAUGAUCAAUUGAGGAUCCUAUUAUAACCUCUCAUGUCCUAGAAUUACCAAUUUAUAAAUUUAAAAUAUAUAUUACUUACUUUUAUAUGAGGGAAACUUUUUUAAUGUUGGAAAUACAAGAGUAAUGUCGAUUAUAUAUUUUUUGCGUCUUCGAGACGCUUCGAUUGCCCAAUUAAAAAACA
Long non-coding RNA from Belonocnema kinseyi, 1648 nucleotides. RefSeq lists it as uncharacterized. The record is from RefSeq and is a predicted model, not a curated record. NCBI's taxonomy places the organism in Eukaryota, Metazoa, Arthropoda, Insecta, Hymenoptera, Cynipidae. The transcript is spliced from 3 exons.